RNAcentral lists this ribosomal RNA (443 nucleotides) under uncultured bacterium. RNAcentral describes it as "partial 16S ribosomal RNA". It matches the Rfam family "Bacterial small subunit ribosomal RNA", at positions 338 to 795 of the family's 1533-position model. The record is from RNAcentral.
CCUACGGGCGGCAGCAGUGGGGAAUAUUGCACAAUGGGCGAAAGCCUGAUGCAGCAACGCCGCGUGAAGGAAGAAGGGUUUCGGCUCGUAAACUUCUAUCAACAGGGACGAAAGAAACGACGGUAGCCGAAUAAGAAGCAGCGGCUCACUACGGGCCAGCAGCCGCGGUAAUACGUAGGGGGCAAGCCUUAUCCGGAAUUACUGGGUGUAAAGGGUGAGGAGGCGGCAUGGGAAGGCAGAUGUGAAAGCCUUGGGCUUAACCCGAGGAUUGCCUUUGGAACUCUCAAGCUAGAGUACAGGAGAGGAUAGCGGAAUUCCUAGUGUAGCGGUGAAAUGCGUAGAUAUUAGGAAGAACACCAGUGGCGAAGGCGGCUUUCUGGACUGAAACUGACGCUGAGGCACGAACGCGUGGGGAGCGAACAGGAUUAGAUACCCGGGUAGUC